AAUGAACGUUGGCGGCGUGGAUUAGGCAUGCAAGUCGAGCGAGAAUUUGCGAUUGGAAGCUUCGGCCGAAGAAAGUGAAGGAAGCGGCAAACGGCGUAGUAAGGCGUAGGUACGUACCCUCGGGUCGGGAAUAGCCAUGGGAAACUGUGGGUAAUGCCCGAUAAUCUCUGCGGAGCAAAGGUGUGAUUCCGCCGGAGGAGCGGCUUACGUGAUAUUAGCUAGUUGGUGGGGUAAUGGCCUACCAAGGCAACGAUGUCUAGGGGGUGUGAGAGCAUGGCCCCCCACGACCGGAACUGAGACACUGUCCGGACACCUACGGGUGGCUGCAGUCGAGAAUCUUCCGCAAUGGGCGAAAGCCUGACGGAGCGACGCCGCGUGGUGGAUGAAGGCCCUUGGGUUGUAAACACCUGUCAGAGGGGAUGAAAUCAUGGUUGGCAAUCCUUCCAUGUUGACAGAGCCUCAGAGGAAGCACGGGCUAAGUACGUGCCAGCAGCCGCGGUAA
RNAcentral lists this ribosomal RNA (502 nucleotides) under uncultured bacterium. RNAcentral's name for it is "bacterial SSU rRNA". It matches the Rfam family "Bacterial small subunit ribosomal RNA", at positions 29 to 523 of the family's 1533-position model. The record is from RNAcentral.